AGGGAAUCUUCCGCAAUGGACGAAAGUCUGACGGAGCAACGCCGCGUGAGUGAUGAAGGUUUUCGGAUCGUAAAGCUCUGUUGCCAGGGAAGAACGUCUUCUGGAGUAACUGCCAGGAGAGUGACGGUACCUGAGAAGAAAGCCCCGGCUAACUACGUGCCAGCAGCCGCGGUAAUACGUAGGGGGCAAGCGUUGCCGGAAUUAUUGGGCGUAAAGCGCGCGCAGGCGGCUGUUUAAGUCUGGUGUAUAAUCCUGGGGCUCAACUCCGGGUCGCACUGGAAACUGGAUGGCUUGAGUGCAGAAGAGGAGAGUGGAAUUCCACGUGUAGCGGUGAAAUGCGUAGAGAUGUGGAGGAACACCAGUGGCGAAGGCGGCUCUCCGGUCUGUAACUGACGCUGAGGCGCGAAAGCGUGGGGAGCAAAC
This 423-nucleotide ribosomal RNA is filed under the name uncultured bacterium. RNAcentral describes it as "bacterial SSU rRNA". It matches the Rfam family "Bacterial small subunit ribosomal RNA", at positions 356 to 773 of the family's 1533-position model. The record is from RNAcentral.